Molecule: long non-coding RNA, 289 nt
Organism: Myotis myotis
Lineage: Eukaryota; Metazoa; Chordata; Mammalia; Chiroptera; Vespertilionidae
Exons: 3
Source: RefSeq, a predicted model, not a curated record
AGCCCUGAGACCAGUUCAGACAGAAGACGACAAGGGAAAGUACACAGCCCAGUGGGAAGGCAGCUGGGUCAUGAGGCUCGGGGAGACCACAGCCUCCCCUGCUCCUGCCCCGUGAGCUGGGUGAGCUGACGCCAAGCAAUGAGAAGGGAUGUGAAUGGCGGCCGCGACUGGUCCGCAGGCUUUGCGGAACGCCGCCGGUUAGCAUCUUGGCAAGAACGGACUAUCUCAGUCUUGCCCGGAGUAGCCCUGUCGCUCUGACAAGGCGCCACUGCCUCGAUUUCCAAGCCAG